UCCCUGGUGGCUCAGAGGUUAAAGCGUCUGCCUCCAAUGCAGGAGACCCGGGUUUGAUCCCCGGGUGGGGAA
RNAcentral lists this transfer RNA (72 nucleotides) under Bos taurus (domestic cattle). RNAcentral describes it as "tRNA-Trp (CCA) (tRNA-Trp-CCA-18-1)". It matches the Rfam family "tRNA". From Rfam's summary of the family: Transfer RNA (tRNA) molecules are approximately 80 nucleotides in length. Their secondary structure includes four short double-helical elements and three loops (D, anti-codon, and T loops). The record is from Rfam by way of RNAcentral. Lineage: Eukaryota; Metazoa; Chordata; Mammalia; Artiodactyla; Bovidae. RNAcentral also lists the same sequence under 1 other name.